AUUGAACGCUGGCGGCAGGCCUAACACAUGCAAGUCGAGCGGAUGAAGGGAGCUUGCUCCUGGAUUCAGCGGCGGACGGGUGAGUAAUGCCAAGGAAUCUGCCUGGUAGUGGGGGAUAACGUCCGGAAACGGGCGCUAAUACCGCAUACGUCCUGAGGGAGAAAGGGGGGGAUCUUCGGACCUCACGCUAUCAGAUGAGCCUAGGUCGGAUUAGCUAGUUGGUGGGGUAAAGGCCUACCAAGGCGACGAUCCGUAACUGGUCUGAGAGGAUGAUCACUCAGGCUGGAGCUGAGACACGUUCCCUACUGCUGCGGGAGGAAGCAGAGGGGAAUCUUAGACAGUGGGCGAGAGCCUGAUCCAGACAUGCAGUGUGUGUGAAGAAGGUCCUCGGAUUGUAAAGCACUUUAAGUUGGGAGAAAGGGCAGUAAGUUAACACCUUGCUGUUUUGACGUUACCAACAGAAUAAGCACCGGCUAACUUCGUG
This 484-nucleotide ribosomal RNA is filed under the name uncultured bacterium. Its description in RNAcentral is "partial 16S ribosomal RNA". It matches the Rfam family "Bacterial small subunit ribosomal RNA", at positions 30 to 507 of the family's 1533-position model. The record is from RNAcentral.